Molecule: ribosomal RNA, 497 nt
Filed under: uncultured bacterium
Lineage: Bacteria
Description: partial 16S ribosomal RNA
Rfam family: Bacterial small subunit ribosomal RNA
Source: RNAcentral
GACGAACGCUGGCGGCGUGCCUAAUACAUGCAAGUUGAGCGCUGAAGGUUGGUACUUGUACCAACUGGAUGAGCAGCGAACGGGUGAGUAACGCGUGGGGAAUCUGCCUUUGAGCGGGGGACAACAUUUGGAAACGAAUGCUAAUACCGCAUAAAAACUUUAAACACAAGUUUUAAGUUUGAAAGAUGCAAUUGCAUCACUCAAAGAUGAUCCCGCGUUGUAUUAGCUAGUUGGUGAGGUAAAGGCUCACCAAGGCGAUGAUCCAUAGCCGACCUGAGAGGGUGAUCGGCCACAUUGGGACUGAGACACGGCCCAAACUCCUACGGGAGGCAGCAGGAGGGAAACGUCGGCAAUGGACGAAAGUCUGACCGAGCAACGCCGCGUGAGUGAAGAAGGUUGUCGGAUCGUAAAACUCGGUUGGUAGGGAAGAACGUUGGUGAGAGUGGAAAGCUCAUCAAGUGACGGUAACUACCCAGAAAGGGACGGCUAACUACGUG